This 254-nucleotide long non-coding RNA is filed under the name Gossypium barbadense (sea-island cotton). RNAcentral describes it as "long non-coding RNA (GBAR_LNC004473)". The record is from RNAcentral. Lineage: Eukaryota; Viridiplantae; Streptophyta; Magnoliopsida; Malvales; Malvaceae.
GAACAAUGGUUUCGGGACCACAAAUUCGACGUGAGAAAAUUCAUUUUUAUUAUAUUUAUAUGGUCUAAAAUUUCAUGGAAUGAUUUCGUGAAAAUCUCGUUCGAAAAUUUUGACGUUUGGACACUCAAUUUAGUUAAAAGGACUAAAUUGUAAACAGUGCAAAAGUUGAGUUCUACAUGUUAGAGGUGUCUAAUUGUUAUGAAAUUUUAAAUUGGAGGUCCUUAAAUGGUAAUUAGACCAUUGGUUAGUUGUUA